Molecule: ribosomal RNA, 912 nt
Filed under: uncultured archaeon
Lineage: Archaea
Description: bacterial SSU rRNA
Rfam family: Archaeal small subunit ribosomal RNA
Source: RNAcentral
UUUUAAGGGACCCGACUGCUAUCGGAUUGAGAUUUAGCCCAUGCGGGUCGAACGCUUCCUGGAGUGCAAGGGGCGUGGCGUACGGCUCAGUAACACGUAGUCAACCUGCCCUGGAGACGUGGACAACCCCGGGAAACUGGGAUUAAUCCAUGAUAGGUCAUCUCAUCUGGAAGGAGAGAUGGCUUAAAGGGACGCACGGGCUUCUUCCGUGUAAUUCGCUCCAGGAUGGGACUGCGACCGAUCAGGCUGUUGGCGGGGUAAUGGCCCACCAAACCUGUUACCGGUACGGGCCUUGAGAGAGGGGGCCCGGAGAUGGACACUGAGAGAAGGGUCCAGGUCCUACGGGGCGCAGCAGGCGCGAAACCUUCGCAAUGCGCGAAAGCGUGACGAGGUUAAUCCGAGUGGCCCCCGCUGAGGGGGUCUUUUGUCGGCUGUAAAAAGGCCGGUGAAUAAGGGGAGGGCAAGUCUGGUGUCAGCCGCCGCGGUAAUACCAGCUCCUCGAGUGGUCGGGGCGAUUAUUGGGCCUAAAGCAUCCGUAGCCUGUUCCGUAGGUCCCCUGUUAAAUCCAACGGCUUAACCGUUGGCCUGCAGAGGAUACCGCGGGACUAGGAGGCGGGAGAGGUGGGCGGUACUCCACGUGUAGGGGUAAAAUCCUUUGAUCCGUGGAAGACCGCCAGUGGCGAAGGCGGCCCACCAGAACGCGCUCGACGGUGAGGGAUGAAAGCUGGGGGAGCGAACCGGAUUAGAUACCCGGGUAGUCCCAGCCGUAAACGAUGCGAGCUAGAUGAUCCAGUCGCAAAUCGCGAUUGGAGUGUCGCAGGGAAGCCGUUAAGCUCGCCAAAUGGGGCGUNCGGUCGCCNGNCUGAAACUUAAGGCCCUCUCUACGGGGGAGCACAAGGGCGAAUUCCAGCA